Molecule: ribosomal RNA, 460 nt
Filed under: uncultured bacterium
Lineage: Bacteria
Description: bacterial SSU rRNA
Rfam family: Bacterial small subunit ribosomal RNA
Source: RNAcentral
GGGAGGCAGCAGUGGGGAAUCUUGCGCAAUGGGCGAAAGCCUGACGCAGCAACGCCGCGUGGAGGAUGAAGGCCCUUGGGUUGUAAACUCCUGUCGGCUGGGAAGAAAUCGUUCGGGGCUAAUACCUCCGGACGUUGACUGUACCAGCAAAGGAAGCCCCGGCUAACUCUGUGCCAGCAGCCGCGGUAAUACAGAGGGGGCCAGCGUUAUUCGGAAUUAUUGGGCGUAAAGGGCGCGUAGGCGGCCACGCGUGUCUUUCGUGAAAUCCCUCGGCUUAACUGAGGACGUGCGGAAGAAACUGCGAGGCUCGAGUCCGGGAGAGGGGGGUGGAAUUCCCAGUGUAGCGGUGAAAUGCGUAGAUAUUGGGAGGAACACCGGUGGCGAAGGCGGCCCCCUGGACCGGUACUGACGCUGAGGCGCGAAAGCGUGGGGAGCAAACGGGAUUAGAUACCCCGGUAGC